This 72-nucleotide transfer RNA is filed under the name Gelidium vagum. Its description in RNAcentral is "tRNA-Gln". It matches the Rfam family "tRNA". Rfam says of the family: Transfer RNA (tRNA) molecules are approximately 80 nucleotides in length. Their secondary structure includes four short double-helical elements and three loops (D, anti-codon, and T loops). The record is from RNAcentral. Lineage: Eukaryota; Rhodophyta; Florideophyceae; Gelidiales; Gelidiaceae.
UGGUGUAUAGCCAAAAGGAAAGGCAGUGACUUUUGAUGUCAUCAUGUAAAGGUUCGAAUCCUUUUACACCAG